Molecule: long non-coding RNA, 3768 nt
Filed under: Lotus japonicus
Lineage: Eukaryota; Viridiplantae; Streptophyta; Magnoliopsida; Fabales; Fabaceae
Description: long non-coding RNA (LJAP_LNC001252)
Source: RNAcentral
UUAUGUAAAUAGUUUAUGGUUUUAUGUUUACCCGUAACCUAUUUUCAGUUUAUUUCAAUAAGCUUUCCAAAUUAGCUUAUGAAUGAGUGCUUAUGCCAUAAGCACUACGUUAAGUUGUUCACUAUAACGCACCUCAAUACCUUAUAUCUGUUUAUAAAAACCAGCUGGAAUCAGCUUCAGAUUCAGUUCUUAACUUCAUUGAUUCAGCUCAGUAUUCACCUAAACUUCUAUAGACCCACCAUUUUAUUUGUUUAUUAUCUGAGUCAUAAGUCAUUAUUUUUCUUGAUUUGUUCAUUAUCUGCAGGGAUUACAAGAUGAGGUCAAACUGGUUCCUUUGGACCUUUCAAACAGGCCUGCUUGGUAUAAGGAGAAAGUUUACCCCGAAAACAAGGUGCUUAUUUAGCUUGUUGAAAGAGGGAAAUAAACUAGUUAUUGCUCAGUUAAUAGAUCAUGACUUUCUCAUGUUACAGGUGCCAUCAUUGGAGCACAAUGGGAAGGUCUUGGGAGAAAGUCUUGAUUUGAUCAAGUAUAUAGAUGCCAACUUCGAAGGGCCAUCUCUGGUUCCAACUGUAAGAACUGUGCCUUCUCUUCCUCUGCUCAUCUCAUAAUCUCUAAUAUAUAUCAUUUGGUGGAAUAUUUUUGAGAUUUUGUUUUUUUUAGGAUCCUGCAAAGGAAGAGUUUGGUGAACAGUUAAUUUCCGAUGUUGAUACAUUCACCAAAGACGUGUACUCUGCAUUCAAAGGAGAUCCUAUCCCACAAGCUAGUAAGUAGUGAGGUUUCAAGUUUUGCAAAUAAUGGAGAGUGUUAUUCAAGUACCAACAUAAUGAAAUUCAGAACUGGUGAUUUGAAUCAGGUCCUGCCUUUGAUUACUUGGAGAAGGCUCUUGGUAAAUUUGAUGAUGGCCCAUUCUUUCUUGGUCAAUUUAGUUGGGUAAGUUGAAAUCAAGAACACUAAGAUUUCCUUUCUAAAUUUCUGCUUUAUUUACUUAGUAUUAAAGUAGCCAUACUCAUGACUUAAGUACAAAUACUUUAUCAGAUAAAUGAUGACAUUGUUAAUAUCAAUGACUAAAGUCUCUCAUAUAAGUUGUAAAUACUUGUGAUGAUCAGGUGGAUGUUGCCUAUAUACCAUUUGUUGAAAGAUUCCAGAUCGUCUUUUCUGAGGUGUUCAAACAUGAUAUAGGGGAAGGAAGGCCUAGACUUGCAGCGUGGAUUGAGGUACACAUGAAUCAACUCUGUAAAUUUAAUUCAAAUUUCAAAUCAUAGCUUCUUUGCUUUCCUUUAUAUGAUAAACUGUAUCAUAAAUCAUGAUCAUUGAUUUGAACUUAGAAAACUUUCCCAUCUACGAAGUGGAAACAGACAAGUUCAUUUAACGCGGUUCUAGUGCCUUUGACAAUGGGCCUUACUAUUAACUUUUGCAGGAGGUGAACAAGAUUGACGCUUAUACACAGACUAGAGCUGACCCUGCGGAACUCCUUGACCUUUACAAGAAACGGUUUUUGGUACUACUAACAAUAUCUACCUUUAUUUCCAUAUUGUGUUUGAAUAAUUGUGAUGGUUUCUGCGCAUUGUCUUUGCCACUUCUUAAACUUGUACACAUCACCCUGCAGGCUCAACAGUGAAAACUGGGUUACAGUGAGCUCUCUCAAAGGUGUAGAUUGUGGGAAAUAAAGCAUCAUGUGUGUUUCUGGGAUGCUUCAUUAGUCAAAAGUUGGUGUGUUUGUCCGCUAGAGUUGCAUAGCUUGAAUGUGAUAUUUAUUUGAUGUGAGACUUGUGAUGAUGUUUAUCAGUUUAUGUACCAGCUUGUGAUGCUGAUUACCAUUGUGAUGAUGUAUAAAUAAUCUUGAAUCAUCGUUGCUAGUGACUGAAUUAUCUUCUUUCUAUUCCUGUUAACCAUGAUGAUGAGUGAUGAAAUCUGUCAUUUUGUAAUUUUAUUUACUUCUAAAGUAGGACAUUACAUUUCCAUCUAUACUUAAUAAGACCUAGAAUGAUGAGGAAGUUGACAAAUAUCCUCUUAAUCGGUACAUUAAAUCCUUUUAAAUAAGGGAUAUGUUUCAAGUGAGGAUCCUCAUUUUACGUAUAACGCUCCUCCUGCACCUUUUGAUAGUUGACAGUGGAUUUGUAAUUUGAUAAAACACCGGUGGGAGAGCAAAUAAUUGGAUGUGUCAAAAGUGGUGGAAAAAAAACUUAACUUAUCAAAAACCACUAUAAAAGUGAGGUGUCAAAAGUAGUCACUACUAUAACUUGAUUUGUCAAUUUUAUAGAAAGACUGAGUUUCAUGUGUCUUCAAUUUGAUUUCAUCCUCAUUCAACAAAAUCAAAUGAAAAAGAAAUAAAAGUCUCUAUCUAAUCCCAUUCCAGCGGCCAUUAGUACGAAUCCAAACAAAACUAAAUAUUUUAGUUUAUGUUUUGUGCUGUUCUCUGUAAUUAUUUUUUGGUUUGUUCAACGCCCGUCGCUAAAAUUAGAUAAAACGUUCGUCACUGCUGGCGACUUCUUCACACUGAAGGGUCCCUCCUCACUUCUAUAAAAGGAAACUCACUUUCAUUGCAUUGCAUGCAUCUAGACGCUAAUCUACAAAACGACACUGAUUCUCUCUCACUGAACUGAAGAAGAAAGAAAGACAACAAUGUCAACAGCGUAAGAUUGACACAUAACUCACUAUGUUGUAUGUUACUUUCUAUUAGAAUAAGUUCUUCUUCUUCUUCUUCUUGAUCUAGCUAACCCCUUUCAUUAGCAGCGUGCAACAAGUUCGUCCAGCUCCAUUAACUUCCACCUCUGAUCUGCUUCCACUUUUUGACGGAACCACCAGGUUCUUCUUCUCUUCUUCUUCUUCUUCUUCUUUCAUCCAUUGAACUAUACUUUUUGAUUAAUUGAUUUGAUGAUCAUGUAUAUAAUUAAAUUUAAAUUAUGUGGCAUCUUCUUUCAGGUUGUACAUCAGUUAUAUUUGUCCCUUCGCACAACGUGCAUGGAUCACUAGGAACUAUAAGGUUCUUCCAUUGCUCUGUUCUGUUCUGUCCUGUCCAAAUUUCUCUGUUUUAUAGUGUGCUACAGUAGAAUCCACAACUCAAUUUGUCUAGGAAAAAAUUCACAUUAAAAAUCGAACCUCAAAUGAACUGAGAUCAACAUCAAAUUGAAUCAAGGAUAGGGUGCUUUUGAGUAAACAAGCCCUUUUGCAAAUAAGUGACAAUCCCUUAUUCAUAUUGAAAUAAGCUAAAAAUAAGUUAACUUCAUCGCUUUGGUUUAUGGCCCCAUUUGAAAGAACUUAUUUAAGCUUAUCUUAUAGCUGAUAGCACAAAUGAUUAUGCAAGUGUUUGGGCGAACUUAUGUAAAUAGCCUAUGGUCUUAUGCUUCUCCCCUAACCUAUUUUCACUUUAUUUCAAUAAUUUUCCAAAUUAGUUUAUGAAUGAGUGCUUAUGCAUAAGUGCUAAAUUAAGUUGUUAACCCAAAAUACGCCUUAUAUUUGUUAAUAGAAACCAGAAGGAAUCAGAUUUAGUUCAGUAUUCACCUGAGCUUCUAUUAACCCGUUACAUAAUUUGUGCAAUUUAUUAUCUGAGUUAAGGUCAUCUUUUUCUUGAUUGGUGAUCAUUCGGUUAAACUGUAGGGAUUACAAGAUGAGAUCAAAUUGGUUCCUUUGGACCUUUCAAACAGGCCUGCUUGGUAUAAGGAGAAAGUUUACCCUGAAAAUAAGGUGCUUAUUUAGCUUGUUGAAAGAGGGGGUAAAAAACUAGUUAAUUGCUCAGCUAAUUGAUCAUGACUUUCCCAUGUUACAGGU